GGCGUUUUAGAAUUUGGCACCAAACCAAACCAGCGUCAAAGAAAAGG
This 47-nucleotide unclassified non-coding RNA is filed under the name Arabidopsis thaliana (thale cress). RNAcentral describes it as "partial miscellaneous RNA". Lineage: Eukaryota; Viridiplantae; Streptophyta; Magnoliopsida; Brassicales; Brassicaceae. The record is from RNAcentral.